ACGGCUCAGUAACACGUGGACAACCUGCCCUAAGGUCUGGAAUAACCCCGGGAAACUGGGGAUAAUACCGGAUAAAUCAUAGAUGCUGGAAUGCUCUGUGGUUAAAAGCUCCGGCGCCUUAGGAUGGAUCUGCGGCCUAUCAGGUAGUAGUGGGUGUAAUGUACCUACUAGCCUACGACGGGUACGGGUUGUGAGAGCAAGAGCCCGGAGAUGGAUUCUGAGACAUGAAUCCAGGCCCUACGGGGCGCAGCAGGCGCGAAAACUUUACAAUGCGGGAAACCGCGAUAAGGGGACACUGAGUGCCAGCACCAUGUGUUGGCUGUCCGCAUGUAUAAAUCACAUGUGUCAGCAAGGGCCGGGCAAGACCGGUGCCAGCCGCCGCGGUAACACCGGCGGCCCGAGUGGUGGCCAUUAUUAUUGGGUCUAAAGGGUCCGUAGCCGGUUUGAUCAGUCUUCCGGGAAAUCUGACAGCUCAACUGUUAGGCUUCUGGGGGAUACUGUCAGACUUGGAACCGGGAGAGGUAAGAGGUACUACAGGGGUAGGAGUGAAAUCUUGUAAUCCUUGUGGGACCACCAGUGGCGAAGGCGUCUUACCAGAACGGGUUCGACGGUGAGGGACGAAAGCUGGGGGCACGAACCGGAUUAGAUACCCGGGUAGUCCCAGCCGUAAACGAUGCUCGCUAGGUGUCUGGGAUGGUGCGACCGUUUCAGGUGCCGCAGGGAAGCCGUGAAGCGAGCCACCUGGGAAGUACGGCCGCAAGGCUGAAACUUAAAGGAAUUGGCGGGGGAGCAC
RNAcentral lists this ribosomal RNA (793 nucleotides) under uncultured archaeon. Its description in RNAcentral is "bacterial SSU rRNA". It matches the Rfam family "Archaeal small subunit ribosomal RNA", at positions 85 to 879 of the family's 1478-position model. The record is from RNAcentral.